GAUAAACGCUGGCGGCGCACAUAAGACAUGCAAGUCGAACGGACUUAACCGAAGUAUUUAUAUUUUGGAGCGGUUAGUGGCGGACUGGUGAGUAACACGUAAGCAACCUGCCUAUUAGAGGGGAAUAACAGUGAGAAAUCAUUGCUAAUACCGCAUAUGCUGUGAGUAUCGCAUGAUACAAACAGGAAAGGAGCAAUCCGCUAAUAGAUGGGCUUGCGUCUGAUUAGAUAGUUGGUGGGGUAAAGGCCUACCAAGUCGACGAUCAGUAGCCGAACUGAGAGGUUGAACGGCCACAUUGGGACUGAGAUACGGCCCAG
This 317-nucleotide ribosomal RNA is filed under the name uncultured bacterium. RNAcentral describes it as "bacterial SSU rRNA". It matches the Rfam family "Bacterial small subunit ribosomal RNA", at positions 28 to 334 of the family's 1533-position model. The record is from RNAcentral.